Molecule: long non-coding RNA, 1068 nt
Filed under: Oryctolagus cuniculus (rabbit)
Lineage: Eukaryota; Metazoa; Chordata; Mammalia; Lagomorpha; Leporidae
Description: lncRNA (ENSOCUG00000038465.1)
Source: RNAcentral
UUUAGCUAGGAGCAGGCCACAUGCUUUGAUGGAUAGUCCCACCAGGGGCACACCGAGGAGGAAGAGUUAAUUCACCCAAAGGAUGCUGGGGUGCUGUUUUCAGAAAAAAAAAAGGGGGGAGGGGGGAAUAGAUUCCAGAUACAACAAAAAACCAAAGAGACAAAUACUUCUGACUGCAAAAAUAUGGUAAAUGAUUAAAUGUACAGAUACAAUAGUCUAAAAAAUAUUACCUACAGUUCUUGGUAGCUAUUCUUUUGUUUCCAAUGAUGAAAUGAGUGCAUUUUCAUUCUGGUUAAGAAAAAAAAAGUUAUUCAAUGACUUGUCCUACAGCUGCUUUACUUGAAGGCUGAAGAACGUUUUGGAGAAUAAUUGUCUCUUGAAUGUACUUACAUAUCCAAUCUGUUGUAAUAAAGAAAAAAACCCAUAUAAAUCAUUGAAAAAGAGAAACGUUAUUGAAUGAACGUCUCCAGAGGAUCGAUGGGCUUUUAAAGGGUGACCCAUGCCUUUACCUAUGGCCAGAGAGAGAUAGAAGUCAACAUCACAGGUGCCAGAGGUAAGAGCAAAAGUCAGUGUCACAGGUGCUGAGAGUGUUUUGCAAGAGUUUGGCGCACUCCGCUAGAGGAGGCAGCCAGGCAUCAGGCAGAUAAAUGUGGCACAGAGGGAAACAGAAACGCAGCAACGUAGGCUGCAUGCAUUUAUUCGGCUGCUUGCAAUCUCAGGCUGCGAUUGCAAGACGGAUGGACAUUUUGGAAUGGUUAUCCUGUGUUAUCUUUGAAAGUAACAAGCUUCUGGUUUUAAUUAAUCUCGGCCUCUGACUUUUGCAUGGAAAGAGAAGUCACUGAGCUCAUGUUGCGGGGUCUGCUUCCAGAGCUGACACAUUCAGGCGUCUGCGUGUGGAAGCGCCGGAGGCAGGCUGGGUUACUGUCCUGCGGAACAUCUGCACAGUGUUUAUCAUUUUGGCAUUGGAGAGCUCUGUAAAUACGUGGAGACCCUUGGCAACCUCGGGAUUUGUUUCCAAAUGUGCCAUCGAUGAAUAACAGCACAAAUGAGCAAAAUCAUCCAGACGGC